RNAcentral lists this ribosomal RNA (1197 nucleotides) under uncultured bacterium. RNAcentral describes it as "partial 16S ribosomal RNA". The record is from RNAcentral.
ACCGGCUUUCGAGAUUCGCAUCCUGUCACCAGGUAGCUGCCCUCUGUACCGGCCAUUGUAUUACGUGUGUGGCCCAAGACGUAAGGGCCGUGAUGAUUUGACGUCAUCCCCACCUUCCUCUCUACUUGCGUAGGCAGUCCCAACAGAGUCCCCAACUGAAUGAUGGCAACUGUUGGCAGGGGUUGCGCUCGUUGCAGGACUUAACCUAACACCUCACGGCACGAGCUGACGACAACCAUGCAGCACCUUGAAAAUUGCCCGAAGGAGGAUCUAUUUCUAAAUCUGUCAAUUCCCAUUUAAGUCUUGGUAAGGUUCCUCGCGUAUCAUCGAAUUAAACCACAUAAUCCACCGCUUGUGCGGGCCCCCGUCAAUUCCUUUGAGUUUCAUCCUUGCGGACGUACUCCCCAGGUGGCUAACUUAUCACUUUCGCUUGGUCUCUGAACCCGAAGAUCCAAAAACGAGUUAGCAUCGUUUACGGCGUGGACUACCAGGGUAUCUAAUCCUGUUCGCUCCCCACGCUUUCGUCCAUCAGCGUCAGUUAAAUCUUAGUGACCUGCCUUCGCAAUCGGUGUUCUAAGUAAUAUCUAUGCAUUUCACCGCUACACUACUUAUUCCAGCCACUUCAAAUUUACUCAAGGCCUGCAGUAUCAGUGGCAGUUUCAUAGUUAAGCUAUGAGAUUUCACCACUGACUUACAGGCCCGCCUACGGACCCUUUAAACCCAAUAAAUCCGGAUAACGCUCGCACCCUCCGUAUUACCGCGGCUGCUGGCACGGAGUUAGCCGGUGCUUAUUCGUACAGUACCUUCAGCUGCCCUCACGAGGGCAGGUUUAUCCCUGUACAAAAGAAGUUUACAAUCCAUAGGACCGUCAUCCUUCACGCGGGAUGGCUGGAUCAGGCUUCCACCCAUUGUCCAAUAUUCCUCACUGCUGCCUCCCGUAGGAGUCUGGUCCGUGUCUCAGUACCAGUGUGGGGGAUCUCCCUCUCAGGACCCCUAAAGAUCAUCGACUUGGUGGGCCGUUACCCCGCCAACUAUCUAAUCUUGCGCGUGCCCAUCUCUAUCCGCCGAGGCUUUCAAUGGCGACCGAUGCCGGACACCAUAUUAUGGGGUAUUAAUCUUCCUUUCGAAAGGCUAUCCCCCAGAUAAAGGCAGGUUGCACACGUGUUACGCACCCGUACGCCGCUCUCUGGAUAGCAA